UGGUGGAGUGAUUUGUCUGGUUAAUUCCGUUAACGAACGAGACCUCAGCCUACUAAUUAGUUUUUGGAAUUUUAUGAUUGCAAAAACUUCUUAGAGGGACUAUCGGGAACACAACCGGUGGAAGUAUGAGGCAAUAACA
RNAcentral lists this ribosomal RNA (139 nucleotides) under uncultured eukaryote. Its description in RNAcentral is "partial 18S ribosomal RNA". It matches the Rfam family "Eukaryotic small subunit ribosomal RNA", at positions 1299 to 1458 of the family's 1831-position model. The record is from RNAcentral.